Molecule: small RNA, 808 nt
Filed under: Vigna angularis var. angularis
Lineage: Eukaryota; Viridiplantae; Streptophyta; Magnoliopsida; Fabales; Fabaceae
Description: Non-protein coding transcript
Source: RNAcentral
UGUUAAAAAGAGAGAUUCUGGCAUUCUUCAUAAAACUAAAAAUAAGAUAAAAAGAAAAUAGUCAUUAUAUCAUGACUGCACCCCUUGACUCUGAAAUGUGACUGCAGUGAAUCAAGGUCCAGCUAAUUUCAUGAAACAUCCAUUUGAUCAUUGUCAUUGUCAGCUUCAUAAUAUUCAUCAUCGCGCUGGAUGUGCUUGUCUUGAGUGUGCUCUGAAAAGAGAAUUGUCAUAUCCAUAAACCAAGAUUUGGCACAGGUAAAGAGAGGAAGGGAAAUGCCGCUUUUUUACUUAAUCACACUUUUAAAGUCUAAAUUCAAUUUUAAUAAUUACGGAUAUUUAGUCAUUAUGAUUUUUUAAUUAAGUUAUUUGUCCCAAAAGUUUAUCCACACUGAUUAAUAUAAUAAAUAAAUAAAUAACAAUGGAAUUUUGACGCAUAAUAAAAAAGUGAUAUGUGACAAUAUAUACAAGUUGUAUACAAAAUCAAAUUACUCCUAGAGUAAUUUUAGAGUUACUAUUACGGUAUAAGGUAGGGGUAAUAAUAAGGUUUGGAAAGGAUAUGAGAAAGAGAAGGAAGGUAGGAGGGAAAUGAGACCGAACGGUAUUGACCGUAAAGGCCAAACAGUAGCCGAACGGUAUUGACCGUAAAGGUCGAACGGUAGCCGAACAGUGGAAGGCGUGGAGAAGUCUAGCGAAACAGUGGAAGGUGGUGAAGAACUGGAGCCGAAUGGUAAGAGGCAAGUGGAAGCAAGCCAAACAGAGGAAGGCGAGGAGCGACCAGGCCGAACGGAGGAAGGCGAGGAGCGACCAG